CACCUCUCAGGUUUGCACCUGGAGAGUUUCCAGUACUCUACCAGUCGUGGCUAUGGGAGGAAGAGUCAAGCAGAGGCAUACUCACUCCAUUUCUAGCUUGGGCAGUGGCUAGCUGGUGGAAGGCAAUCUGCUACAGGU
This is a small nucleolar RNA of Tachyglossus aculeatus (Australian echidna), 138 nucleotides long. The record is from RefSeq and is a predicted model, not a curated record. NCBI's taxonomy places the organism in Eukaryota, Metazoa, Chordata, Mammalia, Monotremata, Tachyglossidae.